RNAcentral lists this long non-coding RNA (524 nucleotides) under Helianthus annuus (common sunflower). Its description in RNAcentral is "hypothetical non coding rna". The record is from RNAcentral. Lineage: Eukaryota; Viridiplantae; Streptophyta; Magnoliopsida; Asterales; Asteraceae.
GUAGGACCUCACCUCAACUUAACGCGGGCCGUGUGAGGGUGUAACUUAACUCCGCUGAAUUCUUUAGUUCAUGCGGGCCGCGUAAGGCCACACCGUUAGUUUAUGCGGGCCGCGAGUGUCCCAAUUGGUGGCGCAGCCCGGUGAUGACACGUGCCAUCAUCGUGGCAAGGCUAGAUCAUGACCAGGACAAGCUACGCGUUGACCCAGUAUUGACGCGGGCCGCGUAAGCCUUGCCUGUUCUUUACGCGGGCCGCGUGGGAACCAGUUUCAGCAACUAUAUAAGGAACGCAUCGGAUUUCAAUUCACCAAUGUGUAAUAUGACCCUCAGUAACAAAAUGUGAAAGCCAAUUAGAAUAGAGCCAGCUCGAGAGCACUGACGGCUUGGAAAAAUGUGGCUAUAAAAGUUACCUAAAAAGACGAUGUUUUAAAUUCAAUAAAAUAAGGGUUAUCCUUAUAAACAUGUUGUAACAAGAAACUUGGGUUUUACCCAUAUGACAAUUAAAAUAAAAUAUGGUGGUUUUACU